Molecule: ribosomal RNA, 475 nt
Filed under: uncultured bacterium
Lineage: Bacteria
Description: bacterial SSU rRNA
Rfam family: Bacterial small subunit ribosomal RNA
Source: RNAcentral
AACGAACGCUGGCGGCGUGGAUAAGACAUGCAAGUCGAACGGAAUGAAUUGGUAGCAAUAUUAACUCAUUCAGUGGCGAACGGGUGCGUAACACGUGGGUCACAUUCCGAGAAGCAGGGAAUAGCCCAGGGAAACUUGGAUUAAUACCCUAUGUGAUCGCAAGAUCAAAGGCGCAAGCCGCUUUUCGAUUGGCCCGCGGCCUAUCAGCUAGUUGGUGGGGUAAUGGCCCACCAAGGCGACGACGGGUAGCUGGUCUAAGAGGACGACCAGCCACACUGGAACUGAGACACGGUCCAGACACCUACGGGUGGCAGCAGUCGAGAAUCUUUCACAAUGGGGAAACCCUGAUGGAGCGACGCCGCGUGGAGGAUAAGGUCUUCGGAUUGUAAACUCCUGUCAUGCGAGAACAAAGCCUCACGGCCUGAUAGUAUCGCAAGAGGAAGAGACGGCUAACUCUGUGGCAGCCGCCGACCGU